Molecule: ribosomal RNA, 423 nt
Filed under: uncultured prokaryote
Description: bacterial SSU rRNA
Rfam family: Bacterial small subunit ribosomal RNA
Source: RNAcentral
UGGGGAAUAUUGGACAAUGGGGGCAACCCUGAUCCAGCCAUGCCGCGUGAGUGAUGAAGGCCUUAGGGUUGUAAAGCUCUUUCACCGGUGACGAUGAUGACGGUAGCCGGAGAAGAAGCCCCGGCUAACUCCGUGCCAGCAGCCGCGGUAAUACGGAGGGGGCGAGCGUUGUUCGGAUUUACUGGGCGUAAAGCGCGUGUAGGCGGACUCGCAAGUCGGUUGUGAAAUCCCUGGGCUCAACCUAGGAACUGCAUCCGAAACUGCUUGUCUUGAGUAAUGGAGAGGGUGGCGGAAUUCCCGGUGUAGAGGUGAAAUUCGUAGAUAUCGGGAGGAACAUCAGUGGCGAAGGCGGCCACCUGGACAUUCACUGACGCUGAGACGCGGAAGCGUGGGGAGCAAACAGGAUUAGAUACCCCCGUAGUC